AAAGGUCUAGUCAGGUUUCAAUUUUUCUGCCCACCAACUGUUUGAUGAUAUUAAUCUCAUCAACAUUUUAGCUUUUGCUUAUGAACAUAAUCGUCGAUUAAGUAUUUUUUUACCUUCGAUCUCGAAUGUUAGUUUUUCGUACAUACAUCAGUAAAUAAAUAUGGAUGAAUUGUUUUUUCGGUAUAUACUUAUCUCUGUUAUGGUUUUAAGAUUACCAUGUUUUCUUCUUU
Molecule: long non-coding RNA, 230 nt
Filed under: Lathyrus oleraceus (garden pea)
Lineage: Eukaryota; Viridiplantae; Streptophyta; Magnoliopsida; Fabales; Fabaceae
Description: Pisum sativum (pea) long non-coding RNA (PSAT_LNC022912)
Source: RNAcentral